GAUGAACGCUGGCGGCGUGCCUAAUACAUGCAAGUCGAGCGAACAGACGAGGAGCUUGCUCCUCUGACGUUAGCGGCGGACGGGUGAGUAACACGUGGAUAACCUACCUAUAAGACUGGGAUAACUUCGGGAAACCGGAGCUAAUACCGGAUAAUAUAUUGAACCGCAUGGUUCAAUAGUGAAAGACGGUUUUGCUGUCACUUAUAGAUGGAUCCGCGCCGCAUUAGCUAGUUGGUAAGGUAACGGCUUACCAAGGCAACGAUGCGUAGCCGACCUGAGAGGGUGAUCGGCAACACUGGAACUGAGACACGGUCAAGACUCCUACGGGAGGCAGCAGUAGGGAAACUUCCGCAAUGGGCGAAAGCCUGACGGAGCAACGCCGCGUGAGUGAAGAAGGUCUUCGGAUCGUAAAACUCUGUUAUUAGGGAAGAACAAAUGUGUAAGUAACUAUGCACGUCUUGACGGUACCUAAUCAGAAAGCCACGGCUAACUACGUG
RNAcentral lists this ribosomal RNA (497 nucleotides) under uncultured bacterium. RNAcentral's name for it is "partial 16S ribosomal RNA". It matches the Rfam family "Bacterial small subunit ribosomal RNA", at positions 28 to 507 of the family's 1533-position model. The record is from RNAcentral.